This 393-nucleotide ribosomal RNA is filed under the name uncultured bacterium. RNAcentral describes it as "partial 16S ribosomal RNA". It matches the Rfam family "Bacterial small subunit ribosomal RNA", at positions 523 to 918 of the family's 1533-position model. The record is from RNAcentral.
AUACGGAGGAUCCGAGCGUUAUCCGGAUUUAUUGGGUUUAAAGGGUGCGUAGGUGGUUUGAUAAGUCAGCGGUGAAAGUUUGCAGCUUAACUGUAAAAACGCCGUUGAAACUGUCGGACUUGAGUGUAAAUGAGGUAGGCGGAAUGCGUGGUGUAGCGGUGAAAUGCAUAGAUAUCACGCAGAACUCCGAUUGCGAAGGCAGCUUACUAAGCUACAACUGACACUGAAGCACGAAAGCGUGGGGAUCAAACAGGAUUAGAUACCCUGGUAGUCCACGCAGUAAACGAUGAUUACUAGCUGUUUGCGAUACACAGUAAGCGGCACAGCGAAAGCGUUAAGUAAUCCACCUGGGGAGUACGCCGUCAACGGUGAAACUCAAAUGAAUUGACGGGG